Molecule: long non-coding RNA, 1262 nt
Filed under: Mytilus galloprovincialis (Mediterranean mussel)
Lineage: Eukaryota; Metazoa; Mollusca; Bivalvia; Mytilida; Mytilidae
Source: RNAcentral
UACACUCCCUGUUAAAUAAAGAUUAACCAUCUUCCAUCUUUCAAAUUGUCAUACUGUCUUUUAAGUCAUAUGAUUUUGACCUCAUUUUCAUGAUGCUGUGGUCAGGUCAUCAAUAUUUGGUGUAACCAUGUGCUGAGGAAUAUAUUGGAGUAUUCAUUGGACUUGAUUUUAUAUCUUUUACCUACAGUUGUCAGGUUCAAGACAAUGGUCUGUCCUUCAAUAGCUCUGCAUUAUAGGUCAAAAAUAGUUGGUUAAGACCUAAUUUUAUGUCCUCCAUCCCAGUUGACCUACUUAUUUGAUGUAUUGGUUGAUUUUACUUAUUCUAUACAAUCAAUCAAAUAUUAAUUCAUUAUAGGUCAAAUAUUUUUGAUAGUAAGGGGGUUCAAACCAGUAUAUGUCUUGCGUGUCAUAUGGCUGUUUUACUACAGAAUAAAUGUUCACCAAUAUUGUUGUAAUGAAUAGAUGUCCAUAUGAUAUUUAACAUGAGAUAACAAUAAGAUUCCAAAUGUGUCAGGAAUCCAGGACACUGAUGACCAGAAGUGUGGGAAGUCAAAUUUAUCAGUAAUGAUACAUGAUAAAUAAGUCAGUAAAAUUUUGUACACGAAAAAAAUAUUUAUCAGUUUUGUUAGUGUUAUAUUUGGCCUUGUGCUCUUUUUCAUCCAAUUGUCAGGUAUAAUUUUGAGGAUAAUGCCCUUUUCUGGGUAAUUAUACAUCAUAGGUUGACAAAUUUUAGUAUGUGUUUUUGCGUCAGAAAUCUAUCCAAAUCACAUGGCCAUGAUCUUGUUUACAUAAUCUAAAUGUAAGUUGUGUUUAUUUUUAUCACAAUCUAACAAAUUAUACUUUAUUGACCAACAUUUGUGAAAAUUCUUUGAUAGAAAUAUUUGUGUAUUUGACAGGUAUUAUGUGAUCAUGACCUCAUUUCAGAUCUUAUUGACCAUAAAAGUACUGGGUUGAGUUCAAUAUCCUAGCAGCUACGUAGCCUCUACUUAGCUGCUAUCAAUUUCUAUGUAACUAGUCUACAGCUUCACGUUCAAUAGUCAAAAUCUAUGUAAUACUACGUAGCCGCUACGAUAUUGAACCCAGCCCUGUUAGAUUAGUAAAUAUUGCAUACAUUAUUAAAAUGAUUGUUGAUAUAAAGUCAGAUAUUUGAUUUCUUAUAAUUCUGCACACAAAAUAUGCAAAUGAAAUUUAUAAUGGGAAAUAAUGUAUUUGUAAUAUUGACAUUGUUACAUGUUUCGCAAAAAUUUGAUUCACAGUAACCC